Molecule: ribosomal RNA, 484 nt
Filed under: uncultured bacterium
Lineage: Bacteria
Description: partial 16S ribosomal RNA
Rfam family: Bacterial small subunit ribosomal RNA
Source: RNAcentral
AUUGAACGCUGGCGGCAGGCCUAACACAUGCCAGUCGAGCGGAUGAAGGGAGCUUGCUCCUGGAUUCAGCGGCGGACGGGUGAGUAAUGCCUAGGAAUCUGCCUGGUCGUGGGGGAUAACGUCCGGAAACGGGCGCUAAUACCGCAUACGUCCUGAGGGAGAAAGUGGGGGAUCUUCGGACCUCACGCUAUCAGAUGAGCCUAGGUCGGAUUAGCUAGUUGGUGGGGUAAAGGCCUACCAAGGCGACGAUCCGUAACUGGUCUGAGAGGAUGAUCAGUCACACUGGAACUGAGACACGGUCCAGACUCCUACGGGAGGCAGCAGUGGGGAAUAUUGGACAAUGGGCGAAAGCCUGAUCCAGCCAUGCCGCGUGUGUGAAGAAGGUCUUCGGAUUGUAAAGCACUUUAAGUUGGGAGGAAGGGCAGUAAGUUAAUACCUUGCUGUUUUGACGUUACCAACAGAAUAAGCACCGGCUAACUUCGUG